RNAcentral lists this transfer RNA (85 nucleotides) under compost metagenome. RNAcentral describes it as "tRNA-Leu". It matches the Rfam family "tRNA". Rfam says of the family: Transfer RNA (tRNA) molecules are approximately 80 nucleotides in length. The record is from RNAcentral.
ACCCAGGUGGCGAAAUUGGUAGACGCACCAUCUUGAGGGGGUGGCGCUGGCAACAGCGUGGCAGUUCGAAUCUGCUUCUGGGUAC